RNAcentral lists this transfer RNA (94 nucleotides) under Streptomyces antimycoticus. Its description in RNAcentral is "tRNA-Ala". Lineage: Bacteria; Bacillati; Actinomycetota; Actinomycetes; Kitasatosporales; Streptomycetaceae. The record is from RNAcentral.
UGCGGCUGGGGGCCGGGGCGGGCUUGGGCGCGUAGCGGGCGGCGCGGACGGCCAGGUCGCGCAGGUGCUGGUGCUCGGCGUCGUCGAGCUGCAG